This 253-nucleotide ribosomal RNA is filed under the name uncultured bacterium. Its description in RNAcentral is "partial 16S ribosomal RNA". It matches the Rfam family "Bacterial small subunit ribosomal RNA", at positions 524 to 776 of the family's 1533-position model. The record is from RNAcentral.
UACGUAGGGCGCAAGCGUUAUCCGGAAUUAUUGGGCGUAAAGGGCGCGUAGGCGGCCUGCUAAGUCGAACGUGAAAUCCCUGGGCUCAACCCAGGAACUGCGUCCGAUACUGGUUGGCUUGAAUCCGGGAGAGGGAUGCGGAAUUCCAGGUGUAGCGGUGAAAUGCGUAGAUAUCUGGAGGAACACCGGUGGCGAAGGCGGCAUCCUGGACCGGCAUUGACGCUGAGGCGCGAAAGCCAGGGGAGCAAACGGG